Molecule: long non-coding RNA, 1032 nt
Filed under: Populus trichocarpa (black cottonwood)
Lineage: Eukaryota; Viridiplantae; Streptophyta; Magnoliopsida; Malpighiales; Salicaceae
Description: long non-coding RNA (PTRI_LNC000178)
Source: RNAcentral
UUUGGUGCUCUGAAUUUAUUUUCUCCAUUUCAAAAUUUAUUCAGUACAAAAUUCUAAUUUCUUUUAAUAGACCAUACUAUGUUGCUAUAUUGCUUUUCAUUUGGCAUCUUUAUGCUUGUAUGAAUUGAUUAUUUCUAUGGGAUUGAGAUUCCUUUUUAUGAGUAGAUGACUUGUUUUGGAACUAUGGUGCUUGCUAUUUACUUGUAACUCUUUGCUUUUAUAAACUCUAAACAACUGGCUGGUUAUGAUUUUAAGCAGCCAUUGUUGCAAUAUCCCAUGCAUAUUUUGCUUUUUCUAGAGAAAGAAUUACCUCUACAUGGAGGACUCUAUUUGUAUAAAGUGCUAAUUUUUUUUUUUUACUCUGGCCAUCCUAUGAUGCAAUCCCGUUCGUAACUCUGAUUUCCUACCAUUCCCAUUGCUAUUGUCCUUAAAUUUACUUCACUGAUUUGCAGACUGAUCUGGCCAACAUUCAAAAGAAAAAGGAUGAAGAAAAGGUAAGAGACAAUGGAUAUUACUUUAAAAAAAAAGGAAAAGAAAAGAAACUGGAUGUUUUAUCUUGUUUAUUACCUUUUGCAAUAGUGAAAGGCGACUAAUUUGAUUAUUCUUGUGAUGAGCAGGCACUUAAGGAGCUCAGAGCCAAGGCACAGCAGAAAGGGAGCUUUGGAGGUUCUGGGCUGAAGAAAAGUGGGAAGAAAUGAAGAUUUCAAACCCAGAUAGACAUGGUUUCCUUUAGUGUAUUCUGAACUAUAUUAUGAUGAUAUCUCGUGUUUAGUGUGAUGGUCGCUGAUGUCCUAUGCUUGAUGUGUUGGUCUUCAUCUUGAGCCAGAAUUACGUAAAACUUUAUAAAUUGUGUGCAUCUGUCCUCUAUCCAUGUGCCAACAAUGUAUUUGCUGGCAUUGUUGGAAACUUUGUUCUAUGUAACUCGUUUGCAAUUUGUUGAUUGCGCUUAGUAAUAAUGGUCUCCUGGGUAAUUGAUUUCCUGAGGAUGUGUUUCCCUUUUAAAUUGCAUUAAUGUGAAAAUUGCCCUCGCUG